GAUGAAGAACGCAGCGAAAUGCGAUAAGUAAUGUGAAUUGCAGAAUUCAGUGAAUCAUCGAAUCUUUGAACGCACAUUGCGCCCCUUGGUAUUCCGAGGGGCAUGCCUGUUCGAGCGUCAUUAUAACCCCUCAAGCUCAGCUUAGUGUUGGGGCCUGCUGCACUGGCAGCCCUUAAAAUCAGUGGCGGCGCCAUCUGGCUCUAAGCGUAGUAAUUCUUCUCGCUAUGGAGUCCUGGUGGAUGCUUGCCAUCAACCCCCAAUUUUUCUAUGGUUGACCUCGGAUCAGGUAGGGAUACCCGCUGAACUUAAGCAUAUCAAUAAGCGGAGGA
RNAcentral lists this unclassified non-coding RNA (329 nucleotides) under soil metagenome. Its description in RNAcentral is "partial contains 5.8S ribosomal RNA, internal transcribed spacer 2, and large subunit ribosomal RNA". The stretch from base 1 to 120 matches the Rfam family "5.8S ribosomal RNA", at positions 35 to 154 of the family's 154-position model. The record is from RNAcentral.